AGAGCUUGCUCUGGUGAGAGUGGCGCACGGGUGAGUAACGCGUGGAUAACCUGCCCUGGUAUCUGGAAUAACGUCUCGAAAGGGGUGCUAAUACCGGAUAAGCCUACGGAGCCUUCGGUCUCUGCAGGAAAAGGUGGCCUCUAUUUAUAAGCUACCGUAUCAGGAUGGGUCCGCGUACCAUUAGCUAGUUGGUAGGGUAAUGGCCUACCAAGGCUACGAUGGUUAGCUGGUCUGAGAGGAUGAUCAGCCACACUGGAACUGAGACACGGUCCAGACUCCUACGGGAGGCAGCAGUGGGGAAUUUUGCGCAAUGGGGGAAACCCUGACGCAGCAACGCCGCGUGAGUGAUGAAGGCUUUCGGGUCGUAAAGCUCUGUCAGUAGGGAAGAAAUGAGACGUGCUAAUACCACGUUUUCUUGACGGUACCUACAAAGGAAGCACCGGCUAACUCCGUGCCAGCAGCCGCGGUAAUACAAGGGCG
This 480-nucleotide ribosomal RNA is filed under the name uncultured Geobacteraceae bacterium. RNAcentral's name for it is "bacterial SSU rRNA". It matches the Rfam family "Bacterial small subunit ribosomal RNA", at positions 75 to 534 of the family's 1533-position model. The record is from RNAcentral. Lineage: Bacteria; Pseudomonadati; Thermodesulfobacteriota; Desulfuromonadia; Geobacterales; Geobacteraceae.